RNAcentral lists this ribosomal RNA (1500 nucleotides) under Microbacterium phyllosphaerae. Its description in RNAcentral is "bacterial SSU rRNA". It matches the Rfam family "Bacterial small subunit ribosomal RNA". The record is from RNAcentral. Lineage: Bacteria; Bacillati; Actinomycetota; Actinomycetes; Micrococcales; Microbacteriaceae.
CUGGCUCAGGAUGAACGCUGGCGGCGUGCUUAACACAUGCAAGUCGAACGGUGAAGCCCCGCUUGCUGGGUGGAUUAGUGGCGAACGGGUGAGUAACACGUGAGCAACCUGCCCCUGACUCUGGGAUAAGCGCUGGAAACGGCGUCUAAUACUGGAUACGAGNNNNNAUCGCAUGGUCAACUUUUGGAAAGAUUUUUCGGUUGGGGAUGGGCUCGCGGCCUAUCAGCUUGUUGGUGAGGUAAUGGCUCACCAAGGCGUCGACGGGUAGCCGGCCUGAGAGGGUGACCGGCCACACUGGGACUGAGACACGGCCCAGACUCCUACGGGAGGCAGCAGUGGGGAAUAUUGCACAAUGGGCGCAAGCCUGAUGCAGCAACGCCGCGUGAGGGAUGACGGCCUUCGGGUUGUAAACCUCUUUUAGCAGGGAAGAAGCGAGAGUGACGGUACCUGCAGAAAAAGCACCGGCUAACUACGUGCCAGCAGCCGCGGUAAUACGUAGGGUGCAAGCGUUAUCCGGAAUUAUUGGGCGUAAAGAGCUCGUAGGCGGUUUGUCGCGUCUGCUGUGAAAUCUGGGGGCUCAACCCCCAGCCUGCAGUGGGUACGGGCAGACUAGAGUGCGGUAGGGGAGAUUGGAAUUCCUGGUGUAGCGGUGGAAUGCGCAGAUAUCAGGAGGAACACCGAUGGCGAAGGCAGAUCUCUGGGCCGUAACUGACGCUGAGGAGCGAAAGGGUGGGGAGCAAACAGGCUUAGAUACCCUGGUAGUCCACCCCGUAAACGUUGGGAACUAGUUGUGGGGUCCAUUCCACGGAUUCCGUGACGCAGCUAACGCAUUAAGUUCCCCGCCUGGGGAGUACGGCCGCAAGGCUAAAACUCAAAGGAAUUGACGGGGACCCGCACAAGCGGCGGAGCAUGCGGAUUAAUUCGAUGCAACGCGAAGAACCUUACCAAGGCUUGACAUAUACGAGAACGGGCCAGAAAUGGUCAACUCUUUGGACACUCGUAAACAGGUGGUGCAUGGUUGUCGUCAGCUCGUGUCGUGAGAUGUUGGGUUAAGUCCCGCAACGAGCGCAACCCUCGUUCUAUGUUGCCAGCACGUAAUGGUGGGAACUCAUGGGAUACUGCCGGGGUCAACUCGGAGGAAGGUGGGGAUGACGUCAAAUCAUCAUGCCCCUUAUGUCUUGGGCUUCACGCAUGCUACAAUGGCCGGUACAAUGGGCUGCAAUACCGUGAGGUGGAGCGAAUCCCAAAAAGCCGGUCCCAGUUCGGAUUGAGGUCUGCAACUCGACCUCAUGAAGUCGGAGUCGCUAGUAAUCGCAGAUCAGCAACGCUGCGGUGAAUACGUUCCCGGGUCUUGUACACACCGCCCGUCAAGUCAUGAAAGUCGGUAACACCUGAAGCCGGUGGCCUAACCCCUUGUGGGAGGGAGCUGUCGAAGGUGGGAUCGGUAAUUAGGACUAAGUCGUAACAAGGUAGCCGUACCGGAAGGUGCGGCUGGAUCAC